AUAAAGAAAGUAAGCAAGGGCGCAUGGCGGAUGCCUUGGCUCUCGGAGGCGAUGAAGGACGUGAUAAGCUGCGAUAAGCUUCGGGGAGGUGCAAAUAACCUUUGAUCCGGAGAUUUCCGAAUGGGACAACCCAAUAUCUUGAAGAGAUAUUAUCCAACUUGGUUGGAGGCUAACGCAGGGAACUGAAACAUCUUAGUACCUGCAGGAAAAGAAAAUAAUAAUGAUUCCCCCAGUAGUGGCGAGCGAACGGGGAAUAGCCCAAACCGGUUAUGUUACGGCAUGACCGGGGUAGUAGGACUACGACAUUGCAUGAAAACAACAGAGAAGAACUUUCUGGAAAGAAAGACCAUAGAGCAUGACAGUUGCGUAUUCGAAUGU
This 378-nucleotide ribosomal RNA is filed under the name Bacteroides sp. AM22-3LB. RNAcentral describes it as "bacterial LSU rRNA". It matches the Rfam family "Bacterial large subunit ribosomal RNA", at positions 1 to 387 of the family's 2925-position model. The record is from RNAcentral. Lineage: Bacteria; Pseudomonadati; Bacteroidota; Bacteroidia; Bacteroidales; Bacteroidaceae.